GGCGAAAGCCGGAUUAAUACCGCAUACGCACUGAGGUGGAAAGCGGGGGACCUUCGGGCCUCGCGCUGUUGGAGCGGCCGAUGUCGGAUUAGCUGGUUGGUGGGGUAAGAGCCCACCAAGGCGACGAUCCGUAGCGGGUCUGAGAGGACGGCCCGCCACACUGGAACUGAGACACGGUCCAGACUCCUACGGGAGGCAGCAGUGGGGAAUUUUGGACAAUGGGGGCAACCCUGAUCCAGCCAUGCCGCGUGAGUGAAGAAGGCCUUCGGGUUGUAAAGCUCUUUCGGCCGGAACGAAAUGGGCGGGGUGAACAAUCCCGUUCGAUGACGGUACCGGAAGAAGAAGCACCGGCUAACUACGUGCCAGCAGCCGCGGUAAUACGUAGGGUGCGAGCGUUAAUCGGAAUUACUGGGCGUAAAGCGUGCGCAGGCGGCCUCUUAAGACAGGUGUGAAAUCCCCGGGCUUAAC
This 468-nucleotide ribosomal RNA is filed under the name uncultured Aromatoleum sp. RNAcentral describes it as "bacterial SSU rRNA". It matches the Rfam family "Bacterial small subunit ribosomal RNA", at positions 150 to 613 of the family's 1533-position model. Lineage: Bacteria; Pseudomonadati; Pseudomonadota; Betaproteobacteria; Rhodocyclales; Rhodocyclaceae. The record is from RNAcentral.